This 400-nucleotide ribosomal RNA is filed under the name uncultured bacterium. RNAcentral describes it as "bacterial SSU rRNA". It matches the Rfam family "Bacterial small subunit ribosomal RNA", at positions 355 to 772 of the family's 1533-position model. The record is from RNAcentral.
UGGGGAAUAUUGGACAAUGGGCGCAAGCCUGAUCCAGCCAUGCCGCGUGAGUGAUGACGGCCUUAGGGUUGUAAAGCUCUUUCGCCCACGACGAUAGUGACGGUAGUGGGAGAAGAAGCCCCGGCUAACUUCGUGCCAGCAGCCGCGGUAAUACGAAGGGGGCUAGCGUUGUUCGGAUUUACUGGGCGUAAAGGGUGCGCAGGCGGGUUCAUCAGUCGGGGGUGAAAGGCCGGGGCUCAACCUCGGAACGGCCUUCGAUACUGUGGACCUUGAGUCCGGAAGAGGUGGGUGGAACUGCGAGUGUAGAGGUGAAAUUCGUAGAUAUUCGCAAGAACACCGGUGGCGAAGGCGGCCCACUGGUCCGGAACUGACGCUCAUGCACGACAGCGUGGGGAGCAAA